Molecule: ribosomal RNA, 502 nt
Filed under: uncultured bacterium
Lineage: Bacteria
Description: partial 16S ribosomal RNA
Rfam family: Bacterial small subunit ribosomal RNA
Source: RNAcentral
GACGAACGCUGGCGGCGUGCUUAACACAUGCAAGUCGAACGGUGAAGGGGCCUGCUUUUGUGGGCCCUGGAUGAGUGGCGAACGGGUGAGUAACACGUGAGUAACCUGCCCCCUUCUUCUGGAUAACCGCAUGAAAGUGUGGCUAAUACGGGAUAUUCUGGGUCUGUCGCAUGAUGGGUCUGGGAAAGAUUGCGCCUUUGGGAGUUUUUGGUGGGGGAUGGGCUCGCGGCCUAUCAGCUUGGUGGUGGGGUGAUGGCCUACCAAGGCGGUGACGGGUAGCCGGCCGGAGAGGGUGGACGGUCACACUGGGACUGAGACACGGCCCAGACGCCUACGAGAGGCAGCAGUGGGGAAUAUUGCACAAUGGGCGCAAGCCUGAUGCAGCGACGCCGCGUGAGAGAUGGAGGCCUUCGGGUUGUAAACCUCUUUCGCCAGUGAAGCAGGCCUGCUCCUUGUGGGUGGGUUGACGGUAGCUGGAUAAGAAGCGCCGGCUAACUACGUG